Molecule: ribosomal RNA, 483 nt
Filed under: uncultured bacterium
Lineage: Bacteria
Description: partial 16S ribosomal RNA
Rfam family: Bacterial small subunit ribosomal RNA
Source: RNAcentral
AUUGAACGCUGGCGGCAGGCCUAACACAUGCAAGUCGAGCGGAUGAAGGGAGCUUGCUCCUGGAUUCAGCGGCGGACGGGUGAGUAAUGCCUAGGAAUCUGCCUGGUAGUGGGGGAUAACGUCCGGAAACGGGCGCUAAUACCGCAUACGUCCUGAGGGAGAAAGUGGGGGAUCUUCGGACCUCACGCUAUCAGAUGAGCCUAGGUCGGAUUAGCUAGUUGGUGGGGUAAAGGCCUACCAAGGCGACGAUCCGUAACUGGUCUGAGAGGAUGAUCAGUCACACUGGAACUGAGACACGGUCCAGACUCCUACGGGAGGCAGCAGUGGGGAAUAUUGGACAAUGGGCGAAAGCCUGAUCCAGCCAUGCCGCGUGUGUGAAGAAGGUCUUCGGAUUGUAAGGCACUUUAAGUUGGGAGGAAGGGCAGUAAGUUAAUACCUUCUGUUUUGACGUUACCAACAGAAUAAGCACCGGCUAACUUCGUG